GUUCCAAAGUUCGAGUACUGCACAUUUUUUUUAAUUUUUUAUUUGAAUAAACGAAGACUACUUAUAAACGAAGAAAAGGUUGAUGGUCGAUAAAACCGGCUUGCAUCGCGCGUAGGAUCGCCACUUUCGGUGGCCCUCGCUGGCAACCAGUCAUUGACCCCGAAACGAAUUUAGAGAACACGCGUCAACAAGGCGCAAUUCGUUGAAUUCGAGGAGCCAAGGUCGAGUCUCAUCUACUCACGACAAAGAUUCACCUAACCGGUUCGAAAUUCUAUGGCCAGUUGCCAAGAUUUCGAUAACCACUGUGUGUCUUGGCAUUCGACCAUAUUAAACCGCUUAACAUCCGUGACAUAUAGUGACUCAUGAAGCUAUAUAUUUUAACGCUUGUACAAACAUUAUAUGAAUAUAUUGUAUGUGUCAUACUUUUACAUUUUGAAAUUUCAUUAACACUGUAAUGAGAUCCGAUCAUCAUGGUUUUAUUGGUAAAGUUUGAAACAAAUCUCGGAAUGUAUAAUAGACGAACAAAUUAUGUUACCAUAUGCUCAACACAAAACAUAUUUACGAAAUACAUUUAUUAUAUGCUUAAGAUGAUUAUUAUAUAAUAUAUAAAUAUACAUUUUUAAUAAAUAUAUCGUAAUUUA
This is a long non-coding RNA of Bombus pyrosoma, 641 nucleotides long. RefSeq lists it as uncharacterized. The record is from RefSeq and is a predicted model, not a curated record. The transcript has 2 exons. Lineage: Eukaryota; Metazoa; Arthropoda; Insecta; Hymenoptera; Apidae.